UUGACCAUGAAGCGACGUGACACCUUCGCCAAACUUCCUUGCUAACAACUCUCAUGAACAUUUUUGUUCCAUAAAACUAUUGCUCUAUUGAGAGAGAGAGAGAGAGAGAGGAGAAGGGAAGCAGAUGAAUAGCGAAUCAGUAUUAAGAAAGCAAAGAAGUAAAUAAUGUUGAGCUCCAAUCUUUUUUCGUUAGUAACAGCCCCUUGACUUAGUCGCUUCCUCGGUUUUAACAGAAGAUAUCGUUUUUCACCGAACAAAACUUCGAGAAGGAGGUCAGAAAAGAUCACGGCGCUCCCGUCGAGUUCUAUGCUCCCUGGUGUGGCCAUUGCAUGCAACUUGCUCUAGUUAGCAAAUGUUUUUUGUAAUGAUCAAGGUGUGGCCAUUGCACGCAACUUGCUUCAGUUAGCAAAUGUUUUUUUGUAAUGAUCAAGACCUAUGAAAAGAUUGCAACAGUAUUUAAGCUGGAGGAAAGAGCAGUGAUUGAUAAUCUUGAUGCUGAAAAUACAAGGAUUUUGCUGAAAAACAAAUGUGGUUGCAGGUAUAAUGUGAGUUGGUAUCCCACUAAAAAAUUCUUUCCAAGUAAUAAGAAACCUGGUGAAGAUUACUGGUGUAAGAGACUCGGAGAAUUUGGUAAAUUUCAUAAAUGAGAAAUGUGGCACAAGCUGUGAUGCAAGAGAGAAUCUCACUUCAAACGUUAGUUGUUCAUAUGUUUUUACAGAUUGGCUGUUGUUUUAUUGUAGACUGGUAUUGUGGCAUCUUUGAACAGCUUUGUUAAGGAGUUUUCAAGUGCUAGCAACAAGAGAAGAAUUCAGUACUUCGCCCUGAUGGAGGAAGAAAUUGGGAUGCUUAAGCGGACCUCUGCAAGAUCUGCUUGAAAACUGGUAAAGAACUUAUGGAGAAAGGUGCGUAUUAUGCCAAUGAUGAAAGAGGCUUGAACGAGUGAAUGCUUGACAAGUGCAGUCAACCAAAGCAGCGAAGGCAGAUGAAUUCACUCUCAAGAAGAACAUCCUGUGUAUCUUUGCAUGAUUACUGGAUGUAGUCACAUCCCUCUGCUAAUGGGCCCCUCUUCAUGGAGUUUCAUCUUCCGCGGCUGUCUACGCCUGACUAAAAAGCGAUUAGGAAUUGGAUACCAGGCAAGGCCACGAGCAAUAAUGAAGCUGGGGACCAUGGUAUUGUCUUGCCAACACGUAUACAUUUAAUUGUGUCACAGAGAUUGAUGGAGGUACUUGGGAACCUGACAUCAGCUCCUGGUGAUUGCAACGAAGGUACUUCUCAAUUGCUUCUGGUAGAUCCUCACUUUAUCUCCUUUUAAUUACCGUGAUGAGAUGUCUUUUGGGUUAAAAAAAUAUAUAAUUUGCUUGAUUGUUGUCUCUUACAUUUUCAUGGAGGACUGAAGAGGCCAUGAAACUGUGUGUGUAUAUAAUAUAUUUAUGGAGAGAAUAAUCAUAAUCAUAAAAAAGAAAGAAAGUCCCAAGAGAGAAGAAGCCAAAAAGAAAUGAAUCCGAUAGGGAUAUGUAAGAUGUAUUAACCACAAAUCUACCACAAGUCCUUGUCUAAUAAUCUCCACACUACUUUAUGUCAAUGUUUCAUGAUCUUCUUUAUGUCAAUGUCUAGGGGACACCAUACCCAAUAUAAUAUAAUAUAAAGAUUUCAAGCCCUC
Molecule: non-coding RNA, 1660 nt
Organism: Carica papaya (papaya)
Lineage: Eukaryota; Viridiplantae; Streptophyta; Magnoliopsida; Brassicales; Caricaceae
Source: RefSeq, a predicted model, not a curated record